This 566-nucleotide ribosomal RNA is filed under the name Cercospora sp. E43. RNAcentral describes it as "eukaryotic LSU rRNA". It matches the Rfam family "Eukaryotic large subunit ribosomal RNA", at positions 38 to 628 of the family's 3401-position model. The record is from RNAcentral. Lineage: Eukaryota; Fungi; Ascomycota; Dothideomycetes; Mycosphaerellales; Mycosphaerellaceae.
GCAUAUCAAUAAGCGGAGGAAAAGAAACCAACAGGGAUUGCCCUAGUACGGCGAGUGAAGCGGCAACAGCUCAAAUUUGAAAUACUGGCGCAAGCCCGAGUUGUAAUUUGUAGAGGAUGCUUCUGGGUAGCGACCGAUCUAAGUUCCUUGGAACAGGACGUCAUAGAGGGUGAGAAUCCCGUAUGUGACCGGCCCGCACCCUUUACGUAGCUCCUUCGACGAGUCGAGUUGUUUGGGAAUGCAGCUCUAAAUGGGAGGUAAAUUUCUUCUAAAGCUAAAUACCGGCCAGAGACCGAUAGCGCACAAGUAGAGUGAUCGAAAGAUGAAAAGUACUUUGGAAAGAGAGUUAAAAAGCACGUGAAAUUGUUGAAAGGGAAGCGCCUGCAACCAGACUUCGCGGCAGUGUUCCGCCGGUCUUCUGACCGGUUAUUCUCUGUCGCGAGGCCAUCAUCGUCUGGGCCCGCCGGAUAAGACCUGAGGAAUGUGGCUCCCCCUCGGGGGAGUGUUAUAGCCUCUGGUGAUGCGGCGUGGCUCGGCCGAGGACCGCGCUUCGGCAAGAAGGAUGG